GGUAGUCCACGCCGUAAACGAUGUCUACUUGGAGGUUGUGGCCUUGAGCCGUGGCUUUCGGAGCUAACGCGUUAAGUAGACCGCCUGGGGAGUACGGUCGCAAGAUUAAAACUCAAAUGAAUUGACGGGGGCCCGCACAAGCGGUGGAGCAUGUGGUUUAAUUCGAUGCAACGCGAAGAACCUUACCUACUCUUGACAUCCAGAGAACUUUCCAGAGAUGGAUUGGUGCCUUCGGGAACUCUGAGACAGGUGCUGCAUGGCUGUCGUCAGCUCGUGUUGUGAAAUGUUGGGUUAAGUCCCGCAACGAGCGCAACCCUUAUCCUUGUUUGCCAGCGAGUAAUGUCGGGAACUCCAGGGAGACUGCCGGUGAUAAACCGGAGGAAGGUGGGGACGACGUCAAGUCAUCAUGGCCCUUACGAGUAGGGCUACACACGUGCUACAAUGGCGCAUACAGAGGGCGGCCAACUUGCGAAAGUGAGCGAAUCCCAAAAAGUGCGUCGUAGUCCGGAUUGGAGUCUGCAACUCGACUCCAUGAAGUCGGAAUCGCUAGUAAUCGUGGAUCAGAAUGCCACGGUGAAUACGUUCCCGGGCCUUGUACACACCGCCCGUCACACCAUGGGAGUGGGCUGCAAAAGAAGUAGGUAGUUUAACCUUCGGGGGGACGCUUACCACUUUGUGGUUCAUGACUGGGGUGAAGUCGUAACAAGGUAGCGCUAGG
This 718-nucleotide ribosomal RNA is filed under the name Vibrio parahaemolyticus. RNAcentral describes it as "bacterial SSU rRNA". It matches the Rfam family "Bacterial small subunit ribosomal RNA", at positions 789 to 1506 of the family's 1533-position model. Lineage: Bacteria; Pseudomonadati; Pseudomonadota; Gammaproteobacteria; Vibrionales; Vibrionaceae. The record is from RNAcentral.